UUUGUAACCCUAAUUCACAGAAUAUAAAAGGAGGAUGAAUCAGUAAACAACUUCUAGACCUAGAGGCAGAAAAGAGAGCACAACAAAACCCUGGAGGCGGAAUUGAAUCAAAAACCCUAAAGAUAACUUUUUCAAUACAAGAUUGCAAAAAGGCAGAAGCGAGAGAAACCCUAGGAUCGGAUUCGACGGUGAAGGAAGUUACCUGAAGAGAGCGCACCAGUUCUUCGCACCACUAUCAUAACCGCGCCGAGCUUCGUUUGAGGAGGUAAUCAUCACAUUUCUCUCGACAUCCUCAUAACAUGUGACCUUUUGUUUGCAUCUUUUGAUUUUGCUCUAGGAAAGGUUCAGCGUUUUUCUUAGUCGUUGUUGUCGUUGCGUUUCGGUUUCGUUGUGAAGGAGAUGAUAGGAUGAGACGAAUGUUGGUCAUUUUAGUUUAGGUUAGGGGUAUUGGUUUUCUCUUUGAGUUUGUCUCUGUUUCGAGUGUGGAGGGAGAUGAAUGUCUCCAGAGAGAGGAGCGAUGCGAGAGAGAGGGAGGAAGACGAACCUCUGUGUUUCC
Molecule: long non-coding RNA, 556 nt
Filed under: Lathyrus oleraceus (garden pea)
Lineage: Eukaryota; Viridiplantae; Streptophyta; Magnoliopsida; Fabales; Fabaceae
Description: Pisum sativum (pea) long non-coding RNA (PSAT_LNC030540)
Source: RNAcentral